UCUACUUCCUUCCGCCCACGACUUCCACUUUGGCCCUUCCGGCAUCAGCGCUGGGGUGUCCUCAGCCCUUGGUAUCUACGGACUCUGAAUGAAGCCAGCUCCGCUCGGUGUCCACCCUACUUCUCCAACUGGUUCUCUCUUUGGAGGAGGCAAGGUGUGUCCUUUCAUUCUUCACCUACGGCGGCACUGGGACACAGGGCCGCGCACCUGGGUGCCGCCCAUCAGCCUGCCACCCACAGACCAAAGGCUCCCAGUCUCGGGACCGGAUCUGGACAGCCCUGGUGGCUUGUGACCCAGGGAAGUGUGCCCUCUGUAGUGCUCAUUCCCAAAUUCGGAUGUGUGCGCCAAGCUUGCGUCUCCCCACGGGGUCAGUCACGCUCUCUCGCCCCCUAAAGUAGGACGCGGAGCACGGCGCCGGCGAUCCUCUAGCCAGAGCCCAACCCUCCGGCUCCCCACGCCCAGACGCGCGCCCCUGUGGGGCCCCUGUGCAGCAGCUCCGCCGCUCUUUGGGAUAAAUGCUCCCGCGGUUUCCUUUCCCGGGCCAGAGCGGACCCGCCCCUCCCGGACCCGUGCACCCCUCGCUCCCGGAUCCCUCCCCGGCAGCGCCUGGAGCGACCCCGCUCGCCCCUGACCCGGAUCAGCAGGUCCAGCGCGUGGCUAUCCAGACACGUGAAGUUCUGCAACAGCUCCCACUUGUCGCGCUGGAAGUUGCGACUGGAGUCCUCGGCCGCGCGACCCUCCAGCGCCCAGAACACGCCGGUGCCCAGCGCCAGGUAAGCCAGGGCUCCUGCCUAAGUCCGUGGACCCUAGGACCAUCUUCAAGCACUCGCUGCUUCUCAGCUUCUCCCUGAGUCUUCCUACCAACCACCCUGUGUACUUAAAAGAAGAGGGACUCCAACUGACUGCCACUGGACUGUGAGCUUGGAGGCAAGAGGACCUUAGCCAGGUCCUGCCUUCUUUCCCCCCAAGUCCCUCCUCCACCCAGAAAGCAGGAAGGGCCCAGGGAGGGUAAAGAGCCUGGGUGGGUCUUCAGUUUCCCGCCCUCUCUUGGAUGUCACUGGUCCCGGGGUGUAAGCUGUGGUCCUCUGCUGCUGCGAUCCUUCCCUGGGUCUCUGGCCAGGAGCUUCCUGUCCUCCACAGCUUGGCCUCUGUAGUCCCAAGAGACCCGGCCGCUUAGGGGUCUGCUUGCUGUUGGGGUGAUGGAAGAAGUACCGGUUGGAGUUUAUGGUCUUUGGUGAGACUGGCCAUUGGCAUGGACUGGCCCAAAUCUGUCUCCUUCUGGGCUACCGCGAUGUUGCAAUUCAGCGGGAGAAAGGCCAGGCCUGGAGCGCAUGGUCCCACGGGAGGUCAGGUCUCCAUGGAGCGCCUGUCCUGGAAGGCUCCUGGGACCCGCUGGCCCUCUGGCUUCUCAGGGGGUUCUUGGAAAGGCUUUUAGGAAGACAGGGGACCAGAGGGGUCAUCAGGUCAAGGGCGUACCCUGGAGGUCAGGGGAGGUCAUGACCAGCAAAAUGGUGGGACACCCUCUUCAAAGGGUCUGGCAAGCUUUGGGAGGCAGCUGCGAGCUUCCUGUUUGCACUAAGAUGGUUCCAGCAUGUUCCCCCACCCAAGACGGCCAUUCUCAUGGACUCACUCUCCCUGGGUCUGCUCCCACGGGACAUUUUGGACACUGUGUUGGGCUGCCUGUCCAGUUGUCUAUCCUGCUAGACAGACUAAAGGCACAGGUGAGGGCAAGAAUGUUCACAGUUGUACUUCAGGACCUAGCACAUAGUGGGGGGCUUGGCAAAUAUACCUUGUGCACCCAUCCAGUGAGGCCCAAGUCAAGUUACCCUCUGUUUCCUGUCCGUCUAAGGACCCUGGGGUGGAGUAUGUGGGGAGGUCAGUGAAGAUCUGGCCACAGUGGAUGUGUUUGAGUUUUCCAGGUCACCUCUGUUACUUUCGUGGACAUAUGUUUCCUUGUCUCCCUGGAGAGCUCUGGGCCCACCCUGGCUGGGACAGGUGUGGGGUUGGGAGAGGAAGAGGAGGGAAGGAUCUCCAGAGGGCAGAUGACAUGGGCUGGGAGGCUGGAAGGGACUGCUGGGCCACUAGGGGACCUCAUGCAGAGAUGGGCAUCUUCUGAGGUCUGGGGAGCCCUUGAGGGUCAGGGGCUGCCCGGUCCUUGAGGUUGAGGCUCCUGCCGUUGAGCCAGAGCUGGGAGCACCUGUGUAGAAGCAAGGGGCCCAGGGAGAGGACCAGGGCCAGCCACGCUAGGCCCAGGAGGAUCCAGACGGCUGCCAGGCUCCGGUACACCGAGAUGUAACGCUUGCUAGGGAUCAGCAUGAAGUCCUUGGAGAUACAUGAUGGGUCCCAGAUCAGGGACUUCUGAGGACUGGAAAUACCCUUAGCUGAUAACUCCCAUCUCCUGGAUCCCAGCGGGUCCCCCAUCCUGAGAUCUGUGACUCUCAUUCUCACCGACAACGUAGUCCCCAAAGCCGAUGGUGCUUAGGGUGAUGAAGGCAAAGUAGAAGCCCUCGCCGAAGCUCCAGCCCUCCACUCGGCUGAAGGCCAUGGGCGGGAAGAUGAGAACCACCAGUGUCCCCAGGAUCAGGAACAGAGCCAGGCCCAGGACCUGCAGGAGCUGGGGAGAGGGAGUCUGGCCCUGAGUCCACCUGGAAGACUUCAGGGUUGCAUGGGUUGGGGGGAGGCCUGACCACAGUAAGUCCCCUGCAGACCUUGGGAGGGGGCUGUGUCUGGGGGUAUGUGAUCUUACCCAGGCCAGGGAAGGCUGGGUGGGCAGAGGAGGUGGGAGAGUAGGUCAAGGAGGGAUCUGAAGACCCCUUCAGGCAUGAGGACCACAGGCAAACAGGCUUCCCGGGAACUCUGAUCCAGGAUGGCACUGUUACCAAACUGUCCCAGAUCCCUCUGCACUCUUGCUCUCCAAGGGGCGCACUCUGGAGGCAUGCGGGUGGCCUAGAGCGUCCUUUGACCCCAUGAAAAGUUGGUGGAGGUCUGUGAUGACUACAGAGGUUCCCCAUCACAGAAGGACUAUUGGCCAGCUGUCAGCUCACUUCAGUGUCACGGAGAAGCCUGGCUGCUGGGCACACACUUCCUGAGAAGGCCACACCCCGUGCUGCUGGAGAUGCGAAGCCCAGCCCCUUCAGCCACUCUGCGGUCAACUCCAGUGCCCCCCGCACCCCCUACACACUGUGGAGCUGCCAGAGGCCACACCUUUGUCCAGCUGGAAUCAGAAUUUAGCUUUUCCCUCUGCCCGGUCCUGCAGCUGCCCCUUCUCUCCCACAGCCCAUCUCCAAUGACACUGCUUCUGCGAAGCCCUCCUGUCACCCUCCUCUGACUGCACAUGGCAUCCUGUGCUGUUUCGUGUCAUUUCUAAUGAUUUGUGCUGCCUUGUGCUGUAUUUAUCCUUCAUUAUUGGAUGGAGGACCAAGCCUGGAUCCAAUCCAAGUUUGUGUCCCCCCAUCACCUUCCUUGGAAAGUCAAGCGGGGGGUGGACUUAAUGGAAUGGAUGGGAAGACCUGGGAUAGGAGGGCCGGGGGGGUUUCCUGGAGGUGGGGCCAUGUGGGAUUCUGGUGGAGUGGUAUGGUAGACGCUGUCUGUGACUGGCUCUCUUGGGACACCCAGGAUGUCAACUGCGCUUUGGUGGCCAGUUCCUGUAUGCAAAUGACCUCCCAGCUCAAGUCCUUGCAUCUCUGCCCCAGGGACUUCUCUGGCCCCAGGCGUGUGCAGGGUCCAGGGCUGGGCUGGGAUGCUGGAGGUUAACACACCAGGAGAGGCUUUCUGUCAGCUGGGCCCGAGUGACCAGCCCCUUGCAGGCCUGUUCUGAGGACGGCUCUCCCUAGCCUCUCAGCAGGUCCCACGGGUGAGCCCAGCCACCCCAACCAGCAACCCUCUGACUUCCUCUUUCUCCACUUCCCUGCCCACUUCCCUGCCUGGGCUUCCUGAAUUGUCUCCCGGGUAACCACAUCCUCUUCUCAGCAUCUGCUUUUGGGGAUCUCAGACUGAGACAGGGGCCUGGGUCGGGGAGCCCUGCUGCCCCACGACCCUUUACCUAUGGUGGUGACCACUGUGCCUGCGAAGAAGAAACUGCUGCCAAAGUCCCAGUUGCUGGGGUUGGUGGAGUUGCCUUUGGGGUUCACGCCUUUCACCCAGGCUUCCAUGAUGACCUGUGGGGACAGCGUGGGCGGUCACUGUGCACCUGUGGUGGCCAGGCUCUCCACAGGGUGCUUCCCCAUUGUCCCAUUUAAUGAUAUCCUUAGAUGGCGUUGUUCCGACUUCACAGAAAAGGGAAGGUAGGCUCAGAGUGGCUGCGAUGCCCAAGGUCGCUGGAUCCCCAAGUCCAAGUGCUUAAGCACAGGUUCAGGUGGGUGUUUCUGGAAGGAUUUGCUGGGGACCACACGAAAGCCCUAGGGCUUGGGGGCGGGGUGGGACAAAAAAAGCUCUGCUCUCUGAGCUUUCAGGGGAGCUGGUGGCUUUGCUCUGGUGGCCCUCUGGUGACACAGAGAUUCUACCAGAGGCCGGCAGGAAGGUGUUGUGUGGUGCAUCGUCUGCGUAGGUACUGCAUGUCGCACGUGUGUACAUGUUGUGUGUGUGUGUGUGUGUGUGUGUGUGGUUUCUAGAACCAAAACUAGACCCAGCUCCAGCUAAGCUCCUCCACCCCUGGCCAGUCCUCUUGGAGAAAGGGGAGAGCGCCCUCCUCCCCUGCCCCAGUCCCUGUGCAUCGUCCCAGGGCAGCUCAGCCUUGACGCCAGGUAGAGUCCCCGAGUCAGGGUGGGGCCACUGUGGAGGAGCAGGGGAGCUCUGGCCUCUCGUUCCUGUGGGAACCACUUCCCACUGGCUGGGUGGACAUGCUUGGGCCAGGGUGGGGUGUCCCUGGUGGGCUGGGCCAGGGUGGACGUCCUCAGCAGCAGGCGGUCUGCUUCUUCUCAUUUUGGCAGGAGCUGGCCACUGAAGAUGUGGACUUUGGCUUCCCUCUCUUUCCCACAUGCCCAGAGAGGCCAGGGCCAAGCGUUCCUGGACACAGCCCCUCCCCAGAGACCCGAACCCCUGCAGGCAGCACUUGCCCUAGUCCUGGGUUGUCCCCUCUGCAACCAGGGCCCUCCACACCCCCCGAGGGGGUCCCUGACUUCCCUGAGGGUACUGAGUUGUGUGGGUGGGUGGCAUUUUCUUCUCUAAGAAUCCACAGGUGAUGGAGGCAGAGGCAGAGUCACUGAUUCUGGGAUCAGGGCAGGCUUGUUCCUUAUGACGUACAUAUAUAUAUAUAUUUUUUUUAUCUUUCUUUUCGUGGUACUUGGAUGGAAUCCAGAGGUGUUCUUCCAUGAAGCUAUAUUCCCAGCCCUUUUAAAAAACUUUUUAUUUGGAGACCGGAUCUCACUGUUGCCCAGGCUGACCUCAAACUUCGGAUCCUCCUCUUCAGCCUCCUGAGUAGCUGGGAUCACAGGUGUGCACCCCAUACCUGGAGUCACUUUUUAAUACUGCAGUAAAUUCUGUCCCUGGCGUGUGGUAGAGUUGAGCAGUGACUCCUGAUCUCCCAGAAUCUUACCCCUGCAUUCUCCUUCCCUGCUCAACUUCCUCUGGUAAGGGUCUCUCCCGAGGCUCAGGACUCUCAUGGACAGUGAUGUCCUGUCUUCCCUGGGGAGGCCCUGGGGGCUAAUCGGUGGUACCCUGUCCAGCUGCAGUCAGACCUAGGGCCUUCCUCCUCAUUUACAGAGUAGUCAGAGCCCAGCCACCCACCCUGCCCUCUGCCCAGCUCCUGGGCUCACUCUGGCCUGGGGCUGAGAGAGGAGGAGGUUUCUGGGUCUCCAGGGCUCUGCCUUGUGCCCUGGGUAUUGGGAACCUCCCGAACCUUACUGUCCUCUGACGUGGGUCUCCUGGAAGAGCUGGGUGUCUCGCAGCUCCACCAAGUUCUCCCAGGCCGUGAAUCCUCUUGUUGGCCAGCCGUCCUCAGUCCUGAGGGAGGCCUCGGUACCACCAGAUGGACUGCUUAACACCACCUGCGGCCCCACCCUGGAGCUCCUGCAGGUCUGGGCAGCAUUUCUCACACACUCCCAGGUGCUGCUGCUGCUGCUGCUGGUCCAGGGACCGCACUUUGAGAACUGCCACUCUGGGCUGAAGGACAAAGGCCCCUCUCUGAGUCUGAAUGUGGGCUCUAUGUCUACCAGUAACUGCAGCCUGGGUCAGCACGUGCCACCUCUCUGCGCUUCAGUCACCACACUAUAAGCUUGAGACAGUGACAGCAGCAGCAAUGACAAGAGGCCAGCUCUGGGGGUGGUGGGUUGUGAUUGGCCGGAGCCCUGCUCUUCCCACUCCAGACACAUUGUAAAUGCUCAAUAAAUGUUGGUUAUCAUUUGAUGA
Ictidomys tridecemlineatus (thirteen-lined ground squirrel) is the source of this 6345-nucleotide non-coding RNA. NCBI's taxonomy places the organism in Eukaryota, Metazoa, Chordata, Mammalia, Rodentia, Sciuridae. The record is from RefSeq and is a predicted model, not a curated record.